This 664-nucleotide ribosomal RNA is filed under the name uncultured bacterium. RNAcentral describes it as "bacterial SSU rRNA". It matches the Rfam family "Bacterial small subunit ribosomal RNA", at positions 817 to 1482 of the family's 1533-position model. The record is from RNAcentral.
UAGUUGUUCGUGUCUUUAAGACGUGAGUAACGCAGCUAACGCACUAAGUUGACCGCCUGGGGAGUACGGCCGCAAGGUUAAAACUCAAAUGAAUUGACGGGGGCCCGCACAAGCGGUGGAGCAUGUGGUUUAAUUCGAUGCAACGCGAAGAACCUUACCAUCCCUUGACAUCCAGAGAAUUUUCUAGAGAUAGAUUAGUGCCUUCGGGAACUCUGAGACAGGUGCUGCAUGGCUGUCGUCAGCUCGUGUUGUGAGAUGUUGGGUUAAGUCCCGCAACGAGCGCAACCCUUAUCCUUAGUUGCCAGCACUAAGGUGGGAACUCUAGGGAGACUGCCGGUGAUAAACCGGAGGAAGGUGGGGACGACGUCAAGUCAUCAUGGCCCUUACGGGAUGGGCUACACACGUGCUACAAUGGCGCACACAAAGGGCAGCAAGCUAGCGAUAGCAAGCGAAUCUCAAAAAGUGCGUCGUAGUCCGGAUUGGAGUCUGCAACUCGACUCCAUGAAGUCGGAAUCGCUAGUAAUCGUGGAUCAGAAUGCCACGGUGAAUACGUUCCCGGGCCUUGUACACACCGCCCGUCACACCAUGGGAGUGGGCUGCACCAGAAGUAGAUAGCUUAACCUUCGGGAGGGCGUUUACCACGGUGUGGUUCAUGACUGGGGUG